Scatophagus argus is the source of this 1351-nucleotide long non-coding RNA. RefSeq lists it as uncharacterized. The record is from RefSeq and is a predicted model, not a curated record. Lineage: Eukaryota; Metazoa; Chordata; Actinopteri; Scatophagidae. The transcript has 4 exons.
UGUCUCUUGGUCUCGCUGUGGCACUUGACAUGUCUGUUCAACAUCCGCUGGUGGUGGAAAGUUUUCUGGCAAACCUGCAAGUAGCAACAAUACCGGCCAGGGCCAAGUCAGCGCCACGUUUACACUCAACCAUCUCAGGAUACAGUUCUGAAGCUUCUACCACUACUGCUGUUGGCGUACCUGGCACACAAACAUCCCUGUUGUCCCCGACGACGAACUCUGACUUGGACCGGUUGAUCUGGUUACCAUAGAGACCGCAUCCUGCAGCACAGGGGUUGUCGUCAAGGCGAGUGGCAUCGCAGAGAUCGGAUGUACGUCGGGAGGCCCUGCGACCUCCUUCUCACCUCCGACUUCUCUGGCGGCGUCGCCGGGCUGCGUGGUCGGCCCAGCAUCGUGCUGGACGGCAGCUCGGCGCGGGUUUGCACGUCAGAGAGCGACUGCUUGGUGAGGCAGAGCGGUGACAUCUCGGCAGGGCUCGCCUCUUCCUCCAUCAUCAGGACCGACGAAGGGAAGAUGGAGACUGGAGGGACAAAGAGGUCAGGUAGCCCAGAGGCAGGUGCGGUCCAGCUCGGCGAGGACAACGAAUCAGUUGACUCUGCAGGGCCCCAAUCAGAUAAAACACAAAUGUGAAUGCAAAAGAAGCCCCGCAGUGAGCUAUAAAGAUGAAAAGGCAGAUGGAGCCAAGUGUAGAGCAGCAGAGCUAACGGUCCGCUCGGCUCUGCUCUGCGUGCGGCUCGUCGGCCACACCUUCCACGCUCAGGCACGUUCAAGUACCAAAACGUUUGAAAAAUUCCAGACUGUCAAAGUCUUCAUCGUGACACGCAAAAGUUUCCAGAAGGUUUGAUCGAUCUGAUGGAGUGUGAGACGAACGGACGUGCCGACGGAUCGUUUCAUUUCAACUGGUGAAAGCUUUUUGGUUUACAGGUUUGAUUGUGUCGGUGAAACAUCAGAUUAUGUUGAACAUAAAGCGCUAUUUAAAGGGGUACAUUUGAAUUCAAGCAUCUUCCCAACCGGUUAAAUUUAGACAUCUGAGUGCAGCUCAAAAAUCAUAAUGAAAAACAACCGCCUGACUGAAGAAUAGACAAAAUAACACCAACAUUUUACACAUGUUUGGUCAUCACCAACAAAAUAAAAAGUACUGGCUUACCGCAUUAACCUCCUUUAUUGUUUUUAGCUUAAGCCCUUAACAGCACUUAUUGUAUGUCAGCGCCGUGUUUUAUCAUGCUGGUGACGCGGCCUGUGGUGACCUUUGCACGAGCUUUAUGAACAAACGAGUGGAAGGCGUGAGGCCUGAGCACAGCUACAGUCAUCGCUUAUGGACACACUGUGUGCGCUGCUUAAUCCUGUCAUG